GACGAACGCUGGCGGCGUGCUUAACACAUGCAAGUCGAACGGAAAGGCCCUGCUUGCAGGGUUCUCGAGUGGCGAACGGGGGAGUAACACGUGGGUGAUCUGCCCUGCACUUCGGGAUAAGCCUGGGAAACUGGGCCUAAUACCGGACAGGAGCCAUUUUUAGUGUGAUGGUUGGAAAGUUUUUUCGGUGUAGGAUGAGCUCGCGGCCUAUCAGCUUGUUGGUGGGGUAAUGGCCUACCAAGGCGGCGACGGGUAGCCGGCCUGAGAGGGUGGACGGCCACAUUGAGACUUAGAGACGGCCCAGGCUGCUACGAGAGGCAGCAGUGGGGAAUAUUGAACAAUGGGCGCCAGGCUGGUGCAGCGAGGCCGCGUGGGGGAUGACGGCCUUCGUGUUGUAGACUCCUUUCGCUAGGGACGAAGCUUUUUGUGACGGUACCUAGAUAAGAAGCACCGGCUAACUACGUG
This 465-nucleotide ribosomal RNA is filed under the name uncultured bacterium. Its description in RNAcentral is "partial 16S ribosomal RNA". It matches the Rfam family "Bacterial small subunit ribosomal RNA", at positions 28 to 507 of the family's 1533-position model. The record is from RNAcentral.